This 449-nucleotide ribosomal RNA is filed under the name uncultured bacterium. Its description in RNAcentral is "partial 16S ribosomal RNA". It matches the Rfam family "Bacterial small subunit ribosomal RNA", at positions 29 to 523 of the family's 1533-position model. The record is from RNAcentral.
AACGAACGCUGGCGGCAGGCCUAACACAUGCAAGUCGAACGCUGUAGCAAUACAGAGUGGCAGACGGGUGAGUAACGCGUGGGAACAUUCCUAGUGGUACGGAAUAGCUCAGGGAAACUUGGGGUAAUACCGUAUACGCCCGAAAGGGGAAAGAUUUAUCGCCAUUAGAUUGGCCCGCGUAGGAUUAGCUAGUUGGUGAGGUAACGGCUCACCAAGGCGACGAUCCUUAGCUGGUUUGAGAGAAUGACCAGCCACACUGGGACUGAGACACGGCCCAGACACCUACGGGAGGCAGCAGUGGGGAAUCUUGGACAAGGGGCGAAAGCCUGAUCCAGCCAUGCCGCGUGAGUGACGAAGGCCUUAGGGUUGUAAAGCUCUUUUGCCGGGGACGAUAAUGACGGUACCCGGAGAAUAAGUCCCGGCUAACUUCGUGCCAGCAGCCGCCGUAA